CCCUUAGAUGUUCUGGGCCGCACGCGCGCUACACUGACGAAGUCAGCGAGCAUGUCCUACGCCGACAGGUGCGGGGAAUCUUGUCAAACUUCGUCGUGAUGGGGAUUGAUUUUUGAAAUUCUUGAUCAUAAACGAGGAAUUCCUAGUAAGCGCAAGUCAGCAGCUUGCGUCGAUUACGUCCCUGCCCUUUGUACACACCGCCCGUCGCUCCUACCGAUUGGGUGUGCUGGUGAAAUGUUCGGAUCGGCCGUUUGUCGCGGUUUCCGCGUCAUGUGGCUGAGAAGUUCAUUAAACCCUCCCACCUAGAGGAAGGAGAAGUCGUAACA
This 326-nucleotide ribosomal RNA is filed under the name uncultured eukaryote. Its description in RNAcentral is "partial 18S ribosomal RNA". It matches the Rfam family "Eukaryotic small subunit ribosomal RNA", at positions 1470 to 1796 of the family's 1831-position model. The record is from RNAcentral.